ACCCCCGUAGCGUACCGGUAGCGUGCGUGUCUGUGAUGCAGGAGGUCAUGGGUUCGAAUCCCCGGCGCCC
RNAcentral lists this transfer RNA (70 nucleotides) under Hordeum vulgare. RNAcentral's name for it is "tRNA-OTHER". Lineage: Eukaryota; Viridiplantae; Streptophyta; Magnoliopsida; Poales; Poaceae. The record is from RNAcentral.